GUUGAUUUUUAGCUUGGUUUUCAGUAUAUUUUCGGGGUUCUAUUUUGGCACUCAUGCUCUUGGAGAUGAAAAUCUCUGGUCCAGAAGCUCUCUACCAGCUUAUAUCAUGGAUGCCCCAGCAUCAGGCCACUGUUCAUCUGAACUGUUUUGGACCAUUUCUUGCAGAGAACGAUCCGAAAAGAAGUUGAGCUUGCUGCUGGUAUUCCCUGAUUGUACGCGAGGCUCGCAUGCAUGGCCACAUGAAGCAUUACACCUCCCACCUCCUCCAUCAUCCUCACCCAUUUUCUCUCCAAACUCUCCACCCCUUUCAUGUCUACCAGUCACCAUGCAUGCAAAACUAGACGUGGAAGCCAAGAUAGUUGAGCCGGGGAUGAAUGUUGGUCGCGAAGGCUACACAAAUGGCGGAGCUCCAAACGGUACGCGCCAAUGACGGCCACGCGUGGCCCCCGCGACGCCGGCGAUGGUGGC
RNAcentral lists this long non-coding RNA (468 nucleotides) under Vitis vinifera (wine grape). Its description in RNAcentral is "long non-coding RNA (VVIN_LNC003184)". The record is from RNAcentral. Lineage: Eukaryota; Viridiplantae; Streptophyta; Magnoliopsida; Vitales; Vitaceae.